AUACCUUUCUCGGCCUUUUGGCUAAGAUCAAGUGUAGUAUCUGUUCUUAUCAGUUUAAUAUCUGAUAUGUGGGCCAUAGGUCCACACGAUAUUAAAUUACUUUUUUUAAGGGGAGGGCCCACAAAGUAGCUUGCUACUUGGGUUUUCAUGUGUCGCCCUUGUCUUGCACUAUUGCAUGGGCCUGGCGCACCCUAC
Molecule: small nuclear RNA, 195 nt
Organism: Lotus japonicus
Lineage: Eukaryota; Viridiplantae; Streptophyta; Magnoliopsida; Fabales; Fabaceae
Product: U2 spliceosomal RNA
Exons: 1
Source: RefSeq, a predicted model, not a curated record